This 1169-nucleotide ribosomal RNA is filed under the name Kocuria rhizophila. RNAcentral describes it as "bacterial SSU rRNA". It matches the Rfam family "Bacterial small subunit ribosomal RNA", at positions 283 to 1474 of the family's 1533-position model. Lineage: Bacteria; Bacillati; Actinomycetota; Actinomycetes; Micrococcales; Micrococcaceae. The record is from RNAcentral.
GUAACCGCCUUGGAGGGUGACCGCCACCAUGGGACUGAACCCGGCCCAGAUUCUACGGGAGGCAGCAGUGGGAAUUUGCCCAAUGGGCGAAACCUGAUGCAAGGAACUCGCGUGAGGGAUGACGCCUUCGGGUUGUAACCUCUUUCAGCCCGGAAGAAGCGAAAGUGACGGUACGUGCAGAAGAAGCGCCGGCUAAUUACGUGCCAGCAGCCGCGGUAAUACGUAGGGCGCAAGCGUUGUCCGGAAUUAUUGGGCGUAAAGAGCUCGUAGGCGGUUUGUCGCGUCUGCUGUGAAAGCCCGGGGCUUAACCCCGGGUGUGCAGUGGGUACGGGCAGACUUGAGUGCAGUAGGGGAGACUGGAAUUCCUGGUGUAGCGGUGAAAUGCGCAGAUAUCAGGAGGAACACCGAUGGCGAAGGCAGGUCUCUGGGCUGUUACUGACGCUGAGGAGCGAAAGCAUGGGGAGCGAACAGGAUUAGAUACCCUGGUAGUCCAUGCCGUAAACGUUGGGCACUAGGUGUGGGGAACAUUCCACGUUUUCCGCGCCGUAGCUAACGCAUUAAGUGCCCCGCCUGGGGAGUACGGCCGCAAGGCUAAAACUCAAAGGAAUUGACGGGGGCCCGCACAAGCGGCGGAGCAUGCGGAUUAAUUCGAUGCAACGCGAAGAACCUUACCAAGGCUUGACAUACACCGGACCGGGCCAGAGAUGGUCUUUCCCCCUUGUGGGGCUGGUGUACAGGUGGUGCAUGGUUGUCGUCAGCUCGUGUCGUGAGAUGUUGGGUUAAGUCCCGCAACGAGCGCAACCCUCGUUCUAUGUUGCCAGCACGUGAUGGUGGGGACUCAUAGGAGACUGCCGGGGUCAACUCGGAGGAAGGUGGGGAUGACGUCAAAUCAUCAUGCCCCUUAUGUCUUGGGCUUCACGCAUGCUACAAUGGCCAGUACAAUGGGUUGCGAUGCCGCGAGGUGGAGCUAAUCCCAAAAAGCUGGUCUCAGUUCGGAUCGUGGUCUGCAACUCGACCACGUGAAGUCGGAGUCGCUAGUAAUCGCAGAUCAGCAACGCUGCGGUGAAUACGUUCCCGGGCCUUGUACACACCGCCCGUCAAGUCACGAAAGUUGGUAACACCCGAAGCCGCUGGCCUCACCCAGGUGUAACAACCGUGCCACCUAGUGG